Molecule: ribosomal RNA, 253 nt
Filed under: uncultured bacterium
Lineage: Bacteria
Description: partial 16S ribosomal RNA
Rfam family: Bacterial small subunit ribosomal RNA
Source: RNAcentral
GACAGAGGGUGCAAACGUUGUUCGGAAUUACUGGGCGUAAAGCGCGUGUAGGCUGCUACGUGUGUCGGACGUGAAAUCCCAUGGCUCAACCAUGGAAGUGCGCUCGAAACUGCGUAGCUAGAGUCCUGGAGAGGAAGGUGGAAUGCUUGGUGUAGAGGUGAAAUGCGUAGAGAUCGGGAGGAACACCAGAGGCGAAGGCGGCGACCUGGAUAGGUACUGACACUCAACUACGAAAGCGUGGGGAGCAAACAGG